GUACCCGUAGUUCAACUGGAUAGAAUAUCAGAUUUCGGCUCUGAGGGUUGAGGGUUCGAAUCCUUCCGGGUACA
Molecule: transfer RNA, 74 nt
Filed under: Litoribacter ruber
Lineage: Bacteria; Pseudomonadati; Bacteroidota; Cytophagia; Cytophagales; Cyclobacteriaceae
Also listed under: 1 other name
Description: tRNA-Arg
Rfam family: tRNA
About the family: Transfer RNA (tRNA) molecules are approximately 80 nucleotides in length. Their secondary structure includes four short double-helical elements and three loops (D, anti-codon, and T loops).
Source: RNAcentral